Molecule: non-coding RNA, 29 nt
Filed under: Homo sapiens (human)
Lineage: Eukaryota; Metazoa; Chordata; Mammalia; Primates; Hominidae
Source: RNAcentral
CCACGGAAAGCUUCAGACAACAUCAGGGC